This 286-nucleotide unclassified non-coding RNA is filed under the name Hevea brasiliensis (rubber tree). Lineage: Eukaryota; Viridiplantae; Streptophyta; Magnoliopsida; Malpighiales; Euphorbiaceae. The record is from RNAcentral.
CUCCCAUCCUGGUAGCACCGUAGCAGCAACGCAAGUCUUGUCUCCUCCUCAAUCGUCCUGCCUCGUUUACGAAACCCUAGCGUCAACUCACCGAUUUCUCAGUUCUGACAAGGCCGACCCAAUUUCCAAGAAUGGCAGAGGGAGAUGAGGACUUGCCAAGAGAUGCAAAGAUUGUCAAAUCACUUCUGAAAUCAAUGGGUGUGGAUGACUACGAACCUCGUGUUAUACACCAGUUUCUAGAGCUAUGGUAUCGUUACGUUGUUGAUGUGUUGACAGAUGCACAGGU